GGGACAGUGUAUGGUGGGUAGUUUGACUGGGGCGGUCGCCUCCCAAAGAGUAACGGAGGCGCGCGAAGGUUGGCUCAGAGCGGUCGGAAAUCGCUCGUUGAGUGCAAUGGCAGAAGCCAGCCUGACUGCGAGACUGACAAGUCGAGCAGAGUCGAAAGACGGCCAUAGUGAUCCGGUGGUCCCUCGUGGAAGGGCCAUCGCUCAACGGAUAAAAGGUACGCCGGGGAUAACAGGCUGAUGAUGCCCAAGAGUCCAUAUCGACGGCAUUGUUUGGCACCUCGAUGUCGACUCAUCACAUCCUGGGGCUGGAGCAGGUCCCAAGGGUUUGGCUGUUCGCCAAUUAAAGCGGUACGUGAGCUGGGUUUAGAACGUCGUGAGACAGUUCGGU
This 388-nucleotide ribosomal RNA is filed under the name Kryptoperidinium foliaceum. RNAcentral describes it as "partial Bacterial large subunit ribosomal RNA". It matches the Rfam family "Bacterial large subunit ribosomal RNA", at positions 2248 to 2635 of the family's 2925-position model. Lineage: Eukaryota; Dinophyceae; Peridiniales; Kryptoperidiniaceae. The record is from RNAcentral.